This 400-nucleotide ribosomal RNA is filed under the name Photobacterium sp. BACT-F. RNAcentral's name for it is "bacterial SSU rRNA". It matches the Rfam family "Bacterial small subunit ribosomal RNA", at positions 1038 to 1437 of the family's 1533-position model. Lineage: Bacteria; Pseudomonadati; Pseudomonadota; Gammaproteobacteria; Vibrionales; Vibrionaceae. The record is from RNAcentral.
GUGCUGCAUGGCUGUCGUCAAAAAAAAGUUGUGAAAUGUUGGGUUAAGUCCCGCAACGAGCGCAACCCUUAUCCUUGUUUGCCAGCACUUCGGGUGGGAACUCCAGGGAGACUGCCGGUGAUAAACCGGAGGAAGGUGGGGACGACGUCAAGUCAUCAUGGCCCUUACGAGUAGGGCUACACACGUGCUACAAUGGCGUAUACAGAGGGCGGCGAGCUAGCGAUAGUGAGCGAAUCCCACAAAGUACGUCGUAGUCCGGAUUGGAGUCUGCAACUCGACUCCAUGAAGUCGGAAUCGCUAGUAAUCGUGGAUCAGAAUGCCUCCUGAAUACGUUCCCGGGCCUUGUACACACCGCCCGUCGUCACCACGGGAGUGGGCAGCACCAGUAAGCAGAUAGCUC